UUUUUCCGUCCUUUCCUUUCGUUUCCUCUCCUUGACUUUCCCUGCUGUCCCUGCCCACCUUUUUCCUCUCCCUGUGGUCCUUUCCAUUCUUCAAGCAUAAAUCUAAUGAAGACACCUGACCUCAACUUCCAGUUUCAGGAGGAUGCCACACUGCUUCCUCUCCACUGAUCUGUGACCC
Molecule: long non-coding RNA, 178 nt
Filed under: Mustela putorius furo (domestic ferret)
Lineage: Eukaryota; Metazoa; Chordata; Mammalia; Carnivora; Mustelidae
Description: lncRNA (ENSMPUG00000028483.1)
Source: RNAcentral